UACGUAGGGGGCAAGCGUUGUCCGGAAUCAUUGGGCGUAAAGAGCGUGUAGGCGGUUCGGUAAGUCGGCUGUGAAAGUCCAGGGCUCAACCCUGGGAUGCCGGUCGAUACUGCCGGACUAGAGUUCGGAAGAGGCGAGUGGAAUUCCCGGUGUAGCGGUGAAAUGCGCAGAUAUCAGGAGGAACACCCGUGGCGAAAGCGGCUCUCUGGGACGGUACUGACGCUGAGACGCGAAAGCGUGGGUAGCAAACAGG
This 253-nucleotide ribosomal RNA is filed under the name uncultured bacterium. RNAcentral describes it as "partial 16S ribosomal RNA". It matches the Rfam family "Bacterial small subunit ribosomal RNA", at positions 524 to 776 of the family's 1533-position model. The record is from RNAcentral.